ACAGCAGUUUAGGGGUGCCUUAUAACAACGGGCUGAGAUCAUACCCAUUGAACCUGAUCCGGGUAAUGCCGGCGAAGGGAAAAACGCGGGGAAACAAU
Molecule: non-coding RNA, 98 nt
Filed under: Pontibacter lucknowensis
Lineage: Bacteria; Pseudomonadati; Bacteroidota; Cytophagia; Cytophagales; Hymenobacteraceae
Also listed under: 1 other name
Description: Pontibacter sp. DM9 TPP riboswitch aptamer (THI element)
Rfam family: TPP riboswitch aptamer (THI element)
About the family: Vitamin B(1) in its active form thiamin pyrophosphate (TPP) is an essential coenzyme that is synthesised by coupling of pyrimidine and thiazole moieties in bacteria. The previously detected thiamin-regulatory element, thi box was extended, resulting in a new, highly conserved RNA secondary structure, the THI element, which is widely distributed in eubacteria and also occurs in some archaea.
Source: Rfam by way of RNAcentral